Ziziphus jujuba (common jujube) is the source of this 1253-nucleotide long non-coding RNA. RefSeq lists it as uncharacterized. The record is from RefSeq and is a predicted model, not a curated record. The transcript has 6 exons. Lineage: Eukaryota; Viridiplantae; Streptophyta; Magnoliopsida; Rosales; Rhamnaceae.
AAUAAAAUCUCACUUUUGCCCUCCUGGCUUAAGUAGGAUUGGGUCGGGAGCAAUAGGCGGAGCUCUGAUUCAAAAUUGGUUCCAAAUUCAGCCUGAAAAUGGAAACAGAGGGAAAUCAUUCUUCAGAUUCAGAGAGGAUGAAAAUGGCGGGACCCGAGGUCCUACUUCUUCUUCUUCUUCCACAAAAAAUUCAAUCCAAACGCGGCCUUCUCUCAAACCCAAUUCUUUAUUCAUUGACCGCCUUGACUGGAAACGAAAGAGAAAAACUGCUGCAAAAGGGUCGGAGAAGGCAGACGAUGCUUGCUUUGGAAAGUGAGAAUGAUGCCCACUUCUUAAUUUCCCCAUCUCAAUUCAAAGGAUAUGAUCAAAUCUGCUUGUCAGAACAUAGUUUCAGAUGAACUGAAAAAAUUGGACUCUCCAUUGAAUGACAGUUUGAAGAUGUCAACUUUUGAUUCUGAUAUCAAUGACAUCUUAUGGGAAUAUGAUGGUCUUCAUGAUGCUUAAAGGCUAAUGUGAAGAAAUGCGGUUAGAAAUGCAAAGGAUCUUGUAUGAGGACCUGAGGGCUGAUUCAACUAAAACAAGGUUUUUCAAUUGGACAUUUUAUUCUUGUGAGCGUAGAAGUUCAUUGUUCACUCUAGCUGGUUGCAGAACCAGACAAUAUUGAAACAUGGCAAGAUGAAGAAGAUGAAUACUUGGUUUAUGCAGUCUAUGUGCAUGUGCAACUAAAUAAUAAGCAGCUUUAGUAGGUGGACAGCUGAAGGAGUGGUCGAUGAUGAAAAUAGAACUGGUGCUAGCCUUAGUGAGAAUUGGAACUCAACUUGGAAUUCGAUACAAGUAGUCUAUUAAAGGAGCGUGUUUUUCAAAUGCUGUCGAGAAGGUCAGAAAAUUUGCAUAUUAGUAAAUUUAAUGGUUUGAAAAAAAUUAUUUGUGAAUUAGAUAAGGAAGGUGGUCUUUUACAUUUGAAAUCUCUCUUAGUCCGUUAUAAUGAUGAAAACCAAUACAUCGUUGACAACUCAUUAAUGGAGCCCCAUGAUAUUUCCGAUCAUAUUUCUGAUAGCUGCUAUAUAAAGGUGGAUAUGAAGAAUCAAUGUUAGAAAUAAUGCAAAGGACCAUCUUUUAUGAAGACCUGAGGGGCUGAAUCAUCAACUAGAAAAGAAGUUAUGUGGAUCUUCUAAAUUGAUUGAUUGCAGGAGAUGUCUCUGGACUACGAUACCAAGUGAAUACAUUUUUUUCUUUUAAACAAGUAAUUAGCA